CAAUAGUGUAUAUUUAAGUUGCUGCAGUUAAAAAGCUCGUAGUUGGAUUUCGGGUGGGAGUGGCCGGUCCGCCGUUUCGGUGUGCACUUGCUACGCCCACCUUGCUGCCGGGGACGUGCUCUUGAGUUCACGCUCGGGACACGGAGUCGGCGAGGUUACUUUGAGUAAAUUAGAGUGUUCAAAGCAGGCCUACGCUCUGAAUACAUUAGCAUGGAAUAACACGAUAGGACUCUGGCCUAUCUUGUUGGUCUGUAGGACCGGAGUAAUGAUUAAGAGGGACAGUCGGGGGCAUUCGUAUUUCAUUGUCAGAGGUGAAAUUCUUGGAUUUAUGAAAGACGAACUACUGCGAAAGCAUUUGCCAAGGAUGUUUUCAUUAA
RNAcentral lists this ribosomal RNA (377 nucleotides) under uncultured eukaryote. RNAcentral's name for it is "partial 18S ribosomal RNA". It matches the Rfam family "Eukaryotic small subunit ribosomal RNA", at positions 592 to 976 of the family's 1831-position model. The record is from RNAcentral.